This 1648-nucleotide long non-coding RNA is filed under the name Canis lupus familiaris (dog). RNAcentral's name for it is "lncRNA (ENSCAFG00000052218.1, ENSCAFG00845024511.1)". Lineage: Eukaryota; Metazoa; Chordata; Mammalia; Carnivora; Canidae. The record is from RNAcentral.
AGUGGGAAACAUGUCGUCUUUGGGAGAGCAGCUCCGCUCCACAAAGCGUGGGUGUUGAAAUUCUCCAGAGGGCCGAGGAAGGGAUGGAUGCUGGACGGAUGGACACGCACGCACACACCCGGCCGUGCCUCCCACCUGCUGCCGGCCCAGCACGCGCCUCGCCCCACCUGCGUGCCCAUCUGGCGCCAGGACACCACACCUGGCGGGCCGCGUGCUUCCCGUGGCCCAGCCCCGCCAGAGGGUCCCCCCAAGGGAGGUCCGGACCCAAGGGCCCCGCUCUCCCCCGGGGGGCUGCCAGGACCACCCCCGAGGGGACACCCUGACCUGUCGGCAGGAAGCGUCAGGCGGGGCGUGGUGCCCAAGGCUCACAGGCGGCCUCCUGUGCGACCACCCCCAAGGCCCCCGCAGAGCCCCUGGGGGACCCCAACCUGCUGGGGCUGGGGGUUAACAAGCAGAUAGCGCCUCGGAAAGCACCCUAGCCAGUCCUCUGUCCGCGUGGCUCUCCUAUGACCUGGUAUGCGCCCAAGGGCCCCAAAAAUGGGUUCAAACAAAACUUGCCAACGGCUGCACAGCGGCCCCGCUCCAGCACCCCAAAGGGACACACAGCCCGAGCGCGCACGGAUGCUCGCAUGGACACGCCGCGGCCCCGCCACACGACAGGAGUGAUGCCCGGUCACAGGCCACCGCAUGGACCUGCCCGGGGCACGGGCCGGAGACAGGAGCCACACGGUGAGCGACGCCGUUUUCAUGAAACGCCCAGCAGAGGCAGAGCCGGGGUCAGACAGCAGACCUGGGGUCGCCAGGGAAGGGUCGGGUCUCUCUGGUGGGGGGAUGAGAAAAGCGUGCUUUCUGCGUGAGCCGGCGAGGUACAGGUGACCCCUGCACGUGUCUGUGAAAGCAGCGGCUGCGCUCACCCAGAGGCCACGUGGCGACCUGCCCUGAGCUGCGGCUUCCCAUCGGGACGCAGACCUUGGGUGCUGAGUGCCCCCCAGGGUGGACGCCAAGGCGGGGCUCCCCAUGGUCAGACGCACCCCCAACCUGCAGGGCGUGCCAACCUGCCACUGGCAGCACCGGGACCCCAAGCCCGGCCACAGCCUCCCUCGACGGCGCAGCCCCCACUGCAUCGGCCCAGUCCCGGCGCUGCCUGGGGAACCGUGAACCCACAGGACAUCCCUGCGGCUACGUGGUGGCUGCUGGGACUGAACCUGCACACGGGACACUCGUGCCACCCGUCGGGAAACGGCCACACCGCGAGUGCGGGGCUCGCCGUCAGAGGGCACUGGGCCCCCCACCCGCCCACGUUACCCCGGCAGGAGCCACAGACCCAGGGCUGCACAGUCACCAAGAGGCCGGCAGCCGGCGGCCUGUCCAGCCCCUGAGGGCGACAGAUGGACGCCGCAAGGUGGGAGGCCGGCAAAUCGCUGGAAUCUGGACACUAGGGCUGCGGGGUGCAGGGUGGGGGGCCCCGCCCGGGGGUGCUUGGGGUCAGCCUGGGCCAUCCUGACCCCCCCGCCGCCCCACUGGGCCUGCACCACACAGGUGCAGGAAGGACCUGCCCCCUUCCCGGGUCCCUGCCUCUGCCCACGGGUGCCCCAGUCUGUGUCCCCCUCCAAGCAAGUGACCCACGUUUUGUGAUAGACUAAAAAAA